AAGCUGUAGUUUAAUGGAAAAACACGCGACUGCAAACCGCGAGAUGUAAGUUCGAUUCUUCCCGGCUUUA
This 70-nucleotide transfer RNA is filed under the name Chitinophaga varians. RNAcentral's name for it is "tRNA-Cys". It matches the Rfam family "tRNA". From Rfam's summary of the family: Transfer RNA (tRNA) molecules are approximately 80 nucleotides in length. Their secondary structure includes four short double-helical elements and three loops (D, anti-codon, and T loops). The record is from RNAcentral. Lineage: Bacteria; Pseudomonadati; Bacteroidota; Chitinophagia; Chitinophagales; Chitinophagaceae.